AUUGAACGCUGGCGGAAUGCUUUACACAUGUAAGUCGAACGGCAGCACGGACUUCGGUCUGGUGGCGAGUGGCGAACGGGUGAGUAACAUAUCGGAACGUAUCCAAUAAUGGGGGAUAACGAGUCGAAAGAUUCGCUAAUACCGCAUACGCCCUACGAGGGAAAGCUGGGGACCUUCGGGCCUGGCGUUAAUGGAGCGGCCGAUAUCUGAUUAGCUAGUUGGUGAGGUAAAGGCUCACCAAGGCGACGAUCAGUAGCUGGUCUGAGAGGACGACCAGCCACACUGGAACUGAGACACGGUCCAGACUCCUACGGGAGGCAGCAGUGGGGAAUUUUGGACAAUGGGCGCAAGCCUGAUCCAGCCAUUCCGCGUGAGUGAAGAAGGCCUUCGGGUUGUAAAGCUCUUUCGCAAGGGAAGAAAACUUAGCCACUAACAUUGGUUGAGGUUGACGGUACCUUGAUAAGAAGCACCGGCUAACUACGUGCCAGCAGCCGCAGUAA
RNAcentral lists this ribosomal RNA (500 nucleotides) under uncultured bacterium. RNAcentral describes it as "partial 16S ribosomal RNA". It matches the Rfam family "Bacterial small subunit ribosomal RNA", at positions 30 to 523 of the family's 1533-position model. The record is from RNAcentral.